Molecule: ribosomal RNA, 426 nt
Filed under: uncultured Glomeromycotina
Lineage: Eukaryota; Fungi; Glomeromycota
Description: SSU rRNA
Rfam family: Eukaryotic small subunit ribosomal RNA
Source: RNAcentral
UAUGGUAUGUACUGGUUUUACUGAUUCCUCCUUCUUGAAGAACUGUAAUGUCAUUAAUUUGGUGUUGCAGGGAAACAGGACUGUUACUUUGAAAAAAUUAGAGUCGUUUAAAGCAGGCUAACGCUUGAAUACAUUAGCAUGGAAUAAUGAAAUAGGACGUUUGAUCCUAUUUUGUUGGUUUCUAGGAUUGACGUAAUGAUUAAUAGGGAUAGUUGGGGGCAUUAGUAUUCAAUUGUCAGAGGUGAAAUUCUUGGAUUUAUUGAAGACUAACUACUGCGAAAGCAUUUGCCAAGGAUGUUUUCAUUAAUCAAGAACGAAAGUUAGGGGAUCGAAGACGAUCAGAUACCGUCGUAGUCUUAACCAUAAACUAUGCCGACUAGGGAUCGGAUGAUGUUAAUUUUUUAAUGACUCAUUCGGCGCCUUACG